Molecule: ribosomal RNA, 468 nt
Filed under: uncultured bacterium
Lineage: Bacteria
Description: partial 16S ribosomal RNA
Rfam family: Bacterial small subunit ribosomal RNA
Source: RNAcentral
GACGAACGCUGGCGGCGUGCUUAACACAUGCAAGUCGAACGGACAGGCCCUGCUUUUGUUGGUUUCUCGAGUGGCGAACGCGUGUGUAACACGUGAGUAACCCGCCCCUGUCUUUGUGAUAUCUUCAGGAAACUCCGGCUAAUACCCGAUAUGAUCUCCUGCUUCAUGUUGUUCGUUGGUAAGUUUCGGCGGUUCGGGAUCGUCUCGCGGCUUCUCAGCUUCAUGGUCGGGUAGUGGCUUACCAAGCCUUUGACGGGUAGCCGGCCUGAGAGGGUUACCGGCCACAAUAGGACUGAGAUACGGCCCAGAAUCCUACGGGAGGCAGCAGUGGGGAAUAUUGCAGAAUGGGCGGAAGCCAGAUGCAGCAACGCCGCGAGCGGGAUAACGGCCUUCGGGGUGUAAACCGAUUUCGCCGGUGACGAAGCGUGAGUGACGGUAAUGGGUAAAGAAGCAACGGCUAACUACGUG